Molecule: transfer RNA, 116 nt
Filed under: Nanobdellota archaeon
Lineage: Archaea; Nanobdellati; Nanobdellota
Description: tRNA-Leu
Rfam family: tRNA
About the family: Transfer RNA (tRNA) molecules are approximately 80 nucleotides in length. Their secondary structure includes four short double-helical elements and three loops (D, anti-codon, and T loops). Further hydrogen bonds mediate the characteristic L-shaped molecular structure. tRNAs have two regions of fundamental functional importance: the anti-codon, which is responsible for specific mRNA codon recognition, and the 3' end, to which the tRNAs corresponding amino acid is attached (by aminoacyl-tRNA synthetases). tRNAs cope with the degeneracy of the genetic code in two manners: having more than one tRNA (with a specific anti-codon) for a particular amino acid; and 'wobble' base-pairing, i.e. permitting non-standard base-pairing at the 3rd anti-codon position.
Source: RNAcentral
GCGAGGGUGUCAGAGUCUGGUCAAUCAGCCAAAGUUGAGCUUUGGUUUGACUAAAUGACUACGGUUGAGGGCCGUAGGCCUUAGUGGCUGCGCGGGUUCGAAUCCCGUCCUUCGCA